CUACGGGAGGCAGCAGUGGGGAAUAUUGCGCAAUGGGCGAAAGCCUGACGCAGCAACGCCGCGUGCGGGAUGACGGCCUUCGGGUUGUAAACCGCUUUCAGUGGGGACGAAAUCAGACGGUACCCACAGAAGAAGCCCCGGCCAACUACGUGCCAGCAGCCGCGGUAACACGUAGGGGGCGAGCGUUGUCCGGAUUUAUUGGGCGUAAAGAGCUCGUAGGCGGCUCGGUAAGUGAGGUGUGAAAACUCCAGGCUCAACCUGGAGACGCCACCUCAUACUGCCGUGGCUAGAGUCCGGUAGGGGAGCAUGGAAUUCCUGGUGUAGCGGUGAAAUGCGCAGAUAUCAGGAGGAACACCAGUGGCGAAGGCGGUGCUCUGGGCCGGAACUGACGCUGAGGAGCGAAAGCGUGGGGAGCAAACAGGAUUAGAAACCCCGGUAGUCC
Molecule: ribosomal RNA, 442 nt
Filed under: uncultured bacterium
Lineage: Bacteria
Description: bacterial SSU rRNA
Rfam family: Bacterial small subunit ribosomal RNA
Source: RNAcentral